This 5326-nucleotide long non-coding RNA is filed under the name Canis lupus familiaris (dog). Its description in RNAcentral is "lncRNA (ENSCAFG00040022951.1)". The stretch from base 2011 to 2083 matches the Rfam family "tRNA". Lineage: Eukaryota; Metazoa; Chordata; Mammalia; Carnivora; Canidae. The record is from RNAcentral.
AUGUUAACGGGGGGAGGGGAGGGGGAGGGGGCGGCGGGGGCGGGAGGGGGAAGGGGCCGGCGGGAGCUGCUCUCGGCUCGGCGGCCGCCGCGCCCGCAGUCUGGAGGCGCACCGGAGCGGCCGGGGCGCCCCCCGCGGGAGCCCGCAGCCCCCCGGGGCGCGCAUCCAGCCGCGGCUGCUCCGGCCCCGCGCGCCGCGCCCCGGGGCUCGGCGGACCCCGCGCCGCCGCCGCUCCCGAGCUGGUGCGAGCGGGCUGGCCGGCGGGGCGGCGAGGGCCCGGCCCGCCUCCCCAGCGCCCGCCCCGGCUUCUCCCCCUGGCGGCGGAGGAGCCUCGGCGGCCGCCGGCUGCACGGAGCGCUGGAGCCCGAGCCGAGCCGAGCCCGAGCCCCAGCCCGAGCCGCCGCCGCCGCCGCCGCCGCCGCCGCCGCCGCCGCCAACGCCGCGCUCGGCUCCCAGGCUCCCUCCCCGCGCGCCGGCCGGGGUGUGGGGGGCGGCGGGCCGGAGGGACGAGGGCGGGCGAGAGGCGCGCGCCGGGAUUGGCGCCGAAGACCGGACCCUCAGCCGCUGGGGGUUGUGGUGAGUCCGCUGCAAGUCAGUUGAUCUGUUCCAUGUCUCCUCAAUCAGGAUUCCAGACUGAUAGAACAGUUGCCAUCUUGAAUGUUUUACGUUGCUAUGGGGAGAAUAAAGAUUACUCCAGAGGGUGUCAGGCUGGCAUUUAAAUCCUAUGGCCAGAAGUGGCACACAUCAUUUGGGCUUCAACCUAAUUGGCCAGGACUAGUGGCAUGGCUUCAUUGAAUCAUCACAGUGAGGCCACAUCGUGCUGCCUACCUCGUGCCCCAAAGUAGAGAGCUAUGCUGCACAACUUUUAAGGACUAACAUACUCUUAGUGACUCUUUGCGCCAAUAUUCUCUAGGUAAGUGAUCCCACCCUGCUCCUUCGUGGCCUAAAUGUUCCAUUCUUCAGGGUAAGCGCCAGAGAGGCCAUCAAAUUAUAGGGAGACGUGCAUGCUGUGACUUCUCUUUGAAUGAAGUACUACAGCCCCAUAUCCCUUCCCCCCAAAUUGUGGCACCCUAUCAAUUUUAAGCCACUCUAUAUGUAUUUCCUAAUAUUGUAUGUGUUUUAUUUUUUCAAGACUUGUUUUCCGAGAAAGGGUGCCAUGAACAGGAACUUUUAAGAAGUGUUAUCUGGGGGGAAAAAAGUGUUAUCUGAAAAUGUCAUGAUUAUUAUCAAAUUUUGAAAUUUUGUCUUGAGUAGUUACUUCCCUUAUUUUAAAUAUCAAAAUUUUGCAACACAAAUAAAAAACUCUCUUGGAAGUAUUCAUUCAUUCAUUCAUUCAUUCAUUCACUUAUGCAUCUUUUUGUUCAUUCAAUAAAUAACUCAUUUACUAAUGCCAGAUACUCUAUUAAGGACCGUGUUUAUGGAGAUAAUUAAGAGUUAUUUUCAAGAAAUACGUUUUCCAGUUGGGCACACAGAAAGAAAAGUCAUUGCAAUGCUAGUAGAGGCACAAAGUUUCCUGAAUUCAUAUGGAUCACUGGAUUUGGGAAGAAGCAAAUAACUCUGCUGGAUUUAGGAAAGUUCUAUAGUAGAAUUGAACCAAGUCCUGAGGAAAAGUGAGACUCUUCUCUGCAGAAGGAGGAUAGAGGAUAUUUCAGGCAGUGAGACCAGUAUGAGUAAAGGCACUUAGGAUGUCCAUCCCAGGACCCUAAGAUCAUGACCUGAGUCAAAAUCAAGAAUCCAUCGCUUAAUGGACUGAGCCACCCAGGUGCCCCAGGUCUUCAAAUUGCUAAGGAGAAGUUGCUAAUUUGGUUUUAUAUGAAAAAUUGAAAUAUUAAAUGUUGAGAACUUACCCACAUUUCAAAGUACACAUGUGGGGUGAAAACCUGGACAGAUAAAAAUCAGCUUAAAGACCAACAAUCAAAUGUCUCCUACUAUAUGAGAUAGGGAGUCAUUAAAAAUUGUAAGGAUGGGGGUAAUACUGUCAGAACUCUUUAGAAAGUUCACUUUGAGGGGAUCUGGCUGGCUCAGUUGGUGAAGCAUGUGACUUUUGAUCUCAGAGUUGUGGGUUCAAGCCCCAUGCUGGGAGUACUUAAAAAUAAAAAUCUUAAAAAUAAUAGAUCUCUCUGGUGGCAUAGUGGAAAGGAAAAGUCUGGAGGCUAUAGCUCAUACUCCAUCAUAUCGUUUGAGGAUGAUGCAAAGCCCUUAAUAGCACCACCCUUUUUAUAAUAUACAACUUUUCAUGUGUAUAGGGGGCACUUGAUAAAUAUUUCCAGAGCUAAUGGAUGAAAGAGAAGCUAAAGUUUUAGAAGGAGGGCACACUUUUUGACGGCUCCUUAUGCCAUAUGCUUCCUUUGUUAGACUGUUAAUUUUUCAAGAGCACAAUGAUCUUAUAUUGAUCAUAUGUAAUUUUUCUCUCUGUGGUAAAUAUUAUUGGUUUUUAAAAAUGCAUAAAUCAUUUAGAGUAGGACAUAAAGAUCAGCACAGCAUCAGAAUAUUAUCUAGGACUAAGCAUACUGAUCCUACCUUGUAAAGGAAUACCAGCUAAACACAUGAUUCUUGUACUAGGCCCUAAAAGUCCAUACUCCCAGGCUUUGUAAAACUACACUAGACCCUUUUGUAUAGCUUAUGCAUAUUUUUAGUGAAGGCCAAACACUAUAUAGUAUUUUAUAUAUAAUAUAUAUAAAAUACAUAUAUAUAAUGUAUAUGUAUCUGUAUAUAUAAUAUAUUAUGUAUUUUAUAUAUUAUGUGUAUAUAAUACAUAUAUAAUUAUACACACACAAAAUAUAUAUAUAUACAGGGCACAUCCAUAUUCUUAAAGCCACUCAAUUCAUUGGACAAUCAAGUCUUUAAAUUCUUAGCAAUUUGGCUUUACAAAUUGAAAUUUUUUAAUUCAACUUUCUUAAGAUAUAAUUUAUAGACAAUAAAACCCAUCCAUUUUAUGUGUUCCAUGAGUUUUGAAUACAAAGAAGAAACAUGAGCAGAUUAUAAUAUUUUAAGUGAACUUCAGAGAAAAAAAUAUAUAUAUAUAUUUAGACAAAAUGUAUAUACAUGUAGGCAAAACAGCCUUAGGUGUCCAACCACCUGGAUUCUAAUCCAGAUUCAACUACUUACUAGCACGACCUUGAUCAAGUCUCUUAGUUUUCUGCCUCAACUUCCUCAUCCAUAUGGUGGGGAUUAUAAUUGUAUUUACCUCCUGGAGUUAGCAAAUGCCAGUGCUUCAACACAGUUAGUAGUCAAUAAAGACUAUGUUUUCUUUUGUUAAUGUUGUUGUUGUCAUUAUUAUUCUAAUAGAGAGGAAGUCCUGGGAUGUAAACAGGAAUAGAAAGUGAAUUGACUGGAAUGUAAGUGGAGUAGAAAGAAGCAAGUACUCCUGGGUGACUUGCUGUAGUGCCAAGGGGACUCAAAGCCAGAGAAGAAUUAUGGCCUCUAUUUCUGGAAUAUUUAUUUUUUACUGAAAGAUUUUGGAAGAAAUUAUUUUUCUAUUAAAACAGCUACACACAUAGUGGAAUGCUUUCUCUCUUUUAUAACUUUUGUGGAAAUGUUUGCCAAGUCCAGAACAUAUUCACUAGUAACAUUUAUGUUAAAAUUGUUAAAGCACCUCCUAUUUUUAUAUACUAUGAACGCUGCCCAAAUGUAGAAUCUUUGCCAUUAGUAAAUGUUUAUAUUUUAGAUGAAAAAUUUGUUGGAGUAGGGAAAAACGUAAUGGGACAUGACCUUGGGGAGAUCAAGUCACCAGGAAGAAAAGAGAACUGGACUCUCGUUCUGAUUCUAUAACUAUUUUUGUUGAUGUCAACAAACAUCAAGAUGGGGAAUCUUUGUUCUUUUCAUUCCGAAUUCCCACAUCCUGGUAGAUCUCAAACUUUAGUGUGUAUAGGAAUUAAAUAGAAUGCUUUUUUAAAAUGCAGAUUCCUUGGCUCCAUGUCCAUAAAUUCAGAUUUGGUAGAAAUAAAGCAGAGAUCCAGUGAUCCAUAUGAAUUCAGGAAACUUGGGUUGAAAGAGGCAGAAAUCCAAAUCAUAAAUGAAAGUUUUGUUUCACUUUUUAUCCGACUCUCAUCAACAUAUACACACAUAAGUUGGAAAAUACAGUGUAAGAAGUGCUUAAGGCAUAGUUAGAUCUAUCUGCUCAAAUGUCACCAACUAUCUCUUGUUUCUGCUUUCUUCUGUGUCAACUUCUGUUUUAACUUUAUUCUUAGUCUAGUUUUCCCUUUACUGUAUUAAGCUAGUCCCUCCAAGCUUCUAUUCUUCUUGAUGUAGAAACUCCAACAAAAGUACACUCCUCUUUCUCAAAGUUUCCACCAAAAGAAUUACACCCAAACUGUAUAGGCUGAGAUUUGGGGAGGUAUUGUUCUCCAAGAUAAAUUGGGGAUAAUUUUUCCAGAAAUAGGAAAUUCUUAUUAGACAAACCUAUAGAUUUUCCAUCCACUACAGUACAUUUUCUAGAAGUACUUUCAGCCUACCCACCAGAGCCUGGGAAGGGCUUAGGAUACUCAGAGUUUCUGAGCCAAUUGCCUCAUACAUUUAUCCCAGAGUUUUGGGCAAAUAUUAAAUAUUUUUAUGUGUGUCAUGAAGAUGAUUUUUCUGUAGGUCAUCUGUGACUUGCACAUUGAGAAUCAACGGAUUUUGAGAUCAUUUUGAGGUCAUCUCGAACAUACAAUAAUAUUAUUACUUUUAGAUCUUCAUGAGACAACUUAGAAGCUGAUGUAUACAAUUGAAAAGGCAGUAAAAGUUCCAGGUAUGGUAUACAGAAAAGGGACGCACAGGACCAGCAGUUGAAACCUGGUUUGACUUGGUUAUCGGUUUUGUUUUAUUUAGUAUUCUUGGACAUAUGUAGUUUGUUCCAUGUAAUAGACAUAGUCCUAGCCUGGAUCUUAGUAUGCCUGGCUCCUUUUUAAUAUUUGGAACAUAAAUGGAUGCAUAUUAUAUGGACAAUGGAAAGGGGUAAACCAGCAACAGCAUGGAAAAGAAAACAGAUUUGACUAUUAGUCAUGAGAUAUAUUUUAGGUAUAUUACAUGCAAGUUUAUAGAAGAAGUAAAUUCUGAUGAAUUAUUAACUCAUUCUUUUAAGUGAGGAAGUUACUUGUAUUUUCUUAACUCAUUAAUAAGGUUAAUAAAAUAAGUCUGCCUCAACGUUUUAAUAUUGAGUCAUUAGUUUAGUUUCAGAUGGCUUCAGAUGACCCCACCUCCCCAACUUCCACCUCCACCAAAGUAACCCAAUACACAAAAGAAAGUGUUUUCAGCAAAUGGUGCUAGGAUAACUAGAUAUCCAUACAGAAACAAAGAAACAAAUGAAAAACCUUGAUCCCUACCUCAUACCAUACACAAAAAUUCA